AUUGAACGCUGGCGGCAGGCCUAACACAUGCAAGUCGAGCGGAUGAAGGGAGCUUGCUCCUGGCUUCAGCGGCGGACGGGUGAGUAAUGCCUAGGACUCUGCCUGGUAGUGGGGGAUAACGUCCGGAAACGGGCGCUAAUCCCGCAUACGUCCUGAGGGAGAAAGUGGGGGAUCUUCGGACCUCACGCUAUCAGAUGAGCCUAGGUCGGAUUAGCUAGUUGGUGGGGUAAAGGCCUACCAAGGCGACGAUCCGUAACUGGUCUGAGAGGAUGAUCAGUCACACGGGAACUGAGACACGGUCCAGACGCCUACGGGAGGCAGCAGUGGGGAAUGUUGGACAAUGGGCGAAAGCCUGAUCCAGCCAUGCCGCGUGUGUGAAGAAGGUCUUCGGAGUGUAAAGCACUUUAAGUUGGGAGGAAGGGCAGUAAGUUAAUACCUUGCUGUUGUGACGGUACCAGCAGAAGAAGCACCGGCUAACUUCGUG
This 484-nucleotide ribosomal RNA is filed under the name uncultured bacterium. Its description in RNAcentral is "partial 16S ribosomal RNA". It matches the Rfam family "Bacterial small subunit ribosomal RNA", at positions 30 to 507 of the family's 1533-position model. The record is from RNAcentral.